Molecule: ribosomal RNA, 120 nt
Filed under: Scophthalmus maximus (turbot)
Lineage: Eukaryota; Metazoa; Chordata; Actinopteri; Pleuronectiformes; Scophthalmidae
Source: RNAcentral
GCUUACGGCCACACGCCUGGGGUUCACGCCCGAUCUCGUUUGAUCUCGGAAGCUAAGAUAGGUUGGGCCUGGUUAGUACGUGGAUGGGAGACCGCCUAGGAAUACCAGGUGCUGUAAGGC